GAGAGUUUGAUCCUGGCUCAGGACGAACGCUGGCGGCGCGCCUAACACAUGCAAGUCGAACGAGCGAGAGAGAGCUUGCUUUCUCGAGCGAGUGGCGAACGGGUGAGUAACGCGUGAGGAACCUGCCUCAAAGAGGGGGACAACAGUUGGAAACGACUGCUAAUACCGCAUAAGCCCACAGCUCGGCAUCGAGCAGAGGGAAAAGGAGCAAUCCGCUUUGAGAUGGCCUCGCGUCCGAUUAGCUGGUUGGCGAGGUAACGGCCCACCAAGGCGACGAUCGGUAGCCGGACUGAGAGGUUGAACGGCCACAUUGGGACUGAGACACGGCCCAGACUCCUACGGGAGGCAGCAGUGGGGAAUAUUGCACAAUGGGGGAAACCCUGAUGCAGCGACGCCGCGUGGAGGAAGAAGGUCUUCGGAUUGUAAACUCCUGUUGCUGAGGAAGAUAAUGACGGUACUCAACAAGGAAGUGACGGCUAACUACGUGCCAGCAGCCGCGGUAAAACGUAGGUCACAAGCGUUGUCCGGAAUUACUGGGUGUAAAGGGAGCGCAGGCGGGAAGGCAAGUUGGAAGUGAAAUCCAUGGGCUCAACCCAUGAACUGCUUUCAAAACUGUUUUUCUUGAGUAGUGCAGAGGUAGGCGGAAUUCCCGGUGUAGCGGUGGAAUGCGUAGAUAUCGGGAGGAACACCAGUGGCGAAGGCGGCCUACUGGGCACCAACUGACGCUGAGGCUCGAAAGUGUGGGUAGCAAACAGGAUUAGAUACCCUGGUAGUCCACACUGUAAACGAUGAUUACUAGGUGUUGGAGGAUUGACCCCUUCAGUGCCGCAGUUAACACAAUAAGUAAUCCACCUGGGGAGUACGACCGCAAGGUUGAAACUCAAAGGAAUUGACGGGGGCCCGCACAGGCAGUGGAGUAUGUGGUUUAAUUCGACGCAACGCGAAGAACCUUACCAAGUCUUGACAUCCUGCGACGCACAUAGAAAUAUGUGUUUCCUUCGGGACGCAGAGACAGGUGGUGCAUGGUUGUCGUCAGCUCGUGUCGUGAGAUGUUGGGUUAAGUCCCGCAACGAGCGCAACCCUUAUGGUCAGUUACUACGCAAGAGGACUCUGGCCAGACUGCCGUUGACAAAACGGAGGAAG
RNAcentral lists this ribosomal RNA (1143 nucleotides) under uncultured bacterium. RNAcentral's name for it is "bacterial SSU rRNA". It matches the Rfam family "Bacterial small subunit ribosomal RNA", at positions 8 to 1172 of the family's 1533-position model. The record is from RNAcentral.